Molecule: small nuclear RNA, 88 nt
Filed under: Panthera leo (lion)
Lineage: Eukaryota; Metazoa; Chordata; Mammalia; Carnivora; Felidae
Description: U2 spliceosomal RNA (ENSPLOG00000019295.1)
Rfam family: U2 spliceosomal RNA
About the family: U2 is a small nuclear RNA (snRNA) component of the spliceosome (involved in pre-mRNA splicing). Complementary binding between U2 snRNA (in an area lying towards the 5' end but 3' to hairpin I) and the branchpoint sequence (BPS) of the intron results the bulging out of an unpaired adenosine, on the BPS, which initiates a nucleophilic attack at the intronic 5' splice site, thus starting the first of two transesterification reactions that mediate splicing.
Source: RNAcentral
AUCGCUUCUCGGCCUUUUGGCUAAGAUCAAGUGUAGUAAACAAUACAAUGACAAGAAUAUUGUAUUUAUAAUAGCAACAAAAAAAUUU